UGGGGAAUCUUGGACAAUGGGCGCAAGCCUGAUCCAGCCAUGCCGCGUGAGUGAAGAAGGCCUUCGGGUUGUAAAGCUCUUUUACCAGGGACGAUAAUGACGGUACCUGGAGAAUAAGCCCCGGCAAACUUCGUGCCAGCAGCCGCGGUAAUACGUAGGGACCAAGCGUUGUUCGGAUUUACUGGGCGUAAAGGGCGCGUAGGCGGCAAUUCAAGUCAUCUGUGAAAUCUCCGGGCUUAACUCGGAACGGUCAGAUGAUACUGCUUUGCUAGAGUGCAGAAGGGGCAAUCGGAAUUCUUGGUGUAGCGGUGAAAUGCGUAGAUAUCAAGAGGAACACCUGAGGUGAAGACGGGUUGCUGGGCUGACACUGACGCUGAGGCGCGAAAGCCAGGGGAGCAAACGGGGAUUAGAUACCCCAGUAGUCCCUGAGCGGGCUGGCAAGGCGCAU
This 448-nucleotide ribosomal RNA is filed under the name uncultured bacterium. Its description in RNAcentral is "bacterial SSU rRNA". It matches the Rfam family "Bacterial small subunit ribosomal RNA", at positions 355 to 825 of the family's 1533-position model. The record is from RNAcentral.